RNAcentral lists this ribosomal RNA (276 nucleotides) under uncultured Glomus. Its description in RNAcentral is "partial 18S ribosomal RNA". It matches the Rfam family "Eukaryotic small subunit ribosomal RNA", at positions 548 to 829 of the family's 1831-position model. The record is from RNAcentral. Lineage: Eukaryota; Fungi; Glomeromycota; Glomeromycetes; Glomerales; Glomeraceae.
UUGGAGGGCAAGUCUGGUGCCAGCAGCCGCGGUAAUUCCAGCUCCAAUAGCGUAUAUUAAAGUUGUUGCAGUUAAAAAGCUCGUAGUUGAAUUUCGGGAUUAGUACGUCGGUCGUGCCUUAGGUACGUACUGGUGUUACUGGUUCCUACCUUCUGACGAACCAUCAUGUCAUUAAUUUGGUGUGGUGGGGAAUCAGGACAGUUACUUUGAAAAAAUUAGAGUGUUUAAAGCAGGCUCGCGCUUGAAUACAUUAGCAUGGAAUAAUGAAAUAGGACG